Molecule: long non-coding RNA, 1290 nt
Filed under: Vulpes vulpes (red fox)
Lineage: Eukaryota; Metazoa; Chordata; Mammalia; Carnivora; Canidae
Description: lncRNA (ENSVVUG00000000061.1)
Source: RNAcentral
CGGCUGCCCGCCCUCCCUUUCGCCCCGCGCCUGGACCCGCGGAGCCCCGGGAGCCCCCCAGCCGCCGCCCCCCGCGCGGCGCCGGAGAGCGCAGGAAGCCGGCAUCUGCCAGGCUCCACACGUGGCUGCUCCGGGGUGUCAUUUUUCAUUUCCCGGGAGGACAUUUCUCCUGGUGAGCCGGCAGGUCUGUUUUGUUGUGACCUUUAAUUAACACCCCGAGAGACGCCUGGAGAAGGACCGGCCCAGCGCGGGGAUCACGUGGGGUGUAAUGGCAUCUCCGCUCCCGGAGACACCGGCCUGGGGGUGGGCGCGGGCUCCAAGGCCGUUAGGGGCUCUCCAGGGGCUCGCUUCCUUCUGCGAUAGGGAGGGGGCAGGAAGACACCUUCUGGGGUGCCGAAGCCCCGGGGCGCCCCUCCCGCCCAGCUCCGGGGGGGAUUGUUCCGCGCCCCCCUCUCGCUGCCGCCCGCCCGCCGCAGCCCUGGCACGGGAAGAUUCCACAGCCGCCAGAGCGAGGGAAGGAGGUCGAAAUGAAGACGUCGAGAACAGUGUGGAAGUUUCCAUUACGUUCCUGCUUCCAAUUUAAAAGCGAUCACAUCGAGAGAGAGGACCUCAGGGGGCAGGUACGCCUCCGGGCGGCCCACGGCAGCUGCGGCCACAUCUGUAUUCAGCUGCGGUGCGGAGGCAACGGCCUGUGCUCUCGCGCCGCGCCGCGGAACAGCAGCGAGCGGCCGGGAGAAAGGGACCAGCCGGUGGGGCCCGNNNNNNNNNNNNGGGGGGGUCGAGGGAGAGCUGCUGCGGGGCUGCGAGAUCCACCUUGGAGACGCCGGAGACCCGAGCUGGUCUGAUUUGCAUCCCCAAGGAGCUGGGUCCCCAAAGUGUGUUUGCAGGAGCUGGAAGCUGGGAGCUACAUUUCCCAGAAUACCAACUGACUGCACCACCCAGAGCACUCAAGUGGGAUCCAGAGUGGGAUCCAGAAGAUGGAUGGGAUAUGAGCCAUCAUGUGACUCCCCCUUCAGGAGCAGGCACCUGUGGCGCAUCAACCGAUCACAAGGGCCUUCCUUCCCAGGGAAUUCGUGUCAUGUGACACUGGCAAUGGGUCCUGUGGGCUCCGAAACUUACUGCUCCUCAGCUAGUGUGGGCCAACAGGUGGUGAUGGCUUUCCCUCCCCUUGCCACCCCCUACCCAUCCAGCGAUUCUGCAAGACCUUCAUUCCUUGAAUUAAAUCUCUUCUUGCUUGAGAUACCCAGAAUGGUUUGUGUUCCCCUGACUGAUCCAUCGCCUAAGAAGUGA